CAGUAGUCACGAGUUUGAUCAUGGCUCAGAUUGAACGCUGGCGGCAUGCCUAACACAUGCAAGUCGAACGAGACCUUCGGGUCUAGUGGCGCACGGGUGCGUAACGCGUGGGAACCUGCCUUUAGGUUCGGAAUAACUCAGAGAAAUUUGAGCUAAUACCGGAUAAUGUCUUCGGACCAAAGAUUUAUCGCCUUUAGAUGGGCCCGCGUUGGAUUAGCUAGUUGGUGGGGUAAAGGCCUACCAAGGCGACGAUCCAUAGCUGGUCUGAGAGGAUGAUCAGCCACACUGGGACUGAGACACGGCCCAGACUCCUACGGGAGGCAGCAGUGGGGAAUAUUGGACAAUGGGCGAAAGCCUGAUCCAGCAAUGCCGCGUGAGUGAUGAAGGCCUUAGGGUUGUAAAGCUCUUUUACCCGAGAUGAUAAUGACAGUAUCGGGAGAAUAAGCUCCGGCUAACUCCGUG
This 462-nucleotide ribosomal RNA is filed under the name uncultured bacterium. Its description in RNAcentral is "bacterial SSU rRNA". It matches the Rfam family "Bacterial small subunit ribosomal RNA", at positions 1 to 507 of the family's 1533-position model. The record is from RNAcentral.